This is a long non-coding RNA of Tribolium castaneum (red flour beetle), 579 nucleotides long. RefSeq lists it as uncharacterized. The record is from RefSeq and is a predicted model, not a curated record. The transcript is spliced from 2 exons. NCBI's taxonomy places the organism in Eukaryota, Metazoa, Arthropoda, Insecta, Coleoptera, Tenebrionidae.
CUGAAUUGCGGUUUAAUUCGAUUUAUCUCACCUGUCCAUGUAAUGCGGAAUGUGGGACGUGAAAGUGUGACAAAAUGGAUGUGGCGUUGCACUAUUACCUGGAGAAAAUACGGAAAAGUGCAACAUUGGCGUAAUUAGUGUGUGGUAGGAGAAAACGUCACGAAGGGCUUAUUUUCAAAUCAAAAGAUAAGGAAGAUAAUUCAUUAACACUCACCGUUUAUCUUCAGUAAUAAUCAAAUUAGGGCAAUGAUCCGAUUUUUUUUUGAUAAUGGGUGUUAUCUUGGUAUUAGGCAGGCACCUCAAAUUAAUACAAUUAGUAAAAAAUGUUAAUCCCACUUCAAACACUUGCUUUUUCUUUUAUCGUUUUUAUCUUUAUUCUAAAGAUUAAAUUUCUACUUAGAAUUGAUAAGUGAGUGCGUUGAACACUUUUUAUGCAGUUAUCAGUGUUUUCCAGUAGCCUUGAAUAGUGGAAAUCAUUAGUUUCCUAUUUAUAAUAGCUCAGACCUUCACAUUGUAGUUUUUCUUAUUUUAUAUUUUGUUUCAAAUUUUACCGCUCCCUGAAUAAAUUUUACUAUUAUU